AUUGAACGCUGGCGGCAGGCUUAACACAUGCAAGUCGAGCGGGGGAGGUUACUUCGGUAACUGACCUAGCGGCGGACGGGUGAGUAAUGCUUAGGAAUCUGCCUAUUAGUGGGGGACAACAUUCCGAAAGGAAUGCUAAUACCGCAUACGCCCUACGGGGGAAAGCAGGGGAUCUUCGGACCUUGCGCUAAUGGAUGAGCCUAAGUGGGGUUAGCUAGUUGGUGGGGUAAAGGCCUACCAAGGCGACGAUCUGUAGCGGGUCUGAGAGGAUGAUCCGCCACACUGGGACUGAGACACGGACCAGACUCCUACGGGAGGCAGCAGUGGGGAAUAUUGGACAAUGGGCGGAAGCCUGAUCCAGCCAUGCCGCGUGUGUGAAGAAGGCCUUUUGGUUGUAAAGCACUUUAAGCGAGGAGGAGGCUCCUUUAGUUAAUACCUAAAGAGAGUGGACGUUACUCGCAGAAUAAGCACCGGCUAACUCUGUGCCAGCCGCCGCCGUAA
This 501-nucleotide ribosomal RNA is filed under the name uncultured bacterium. RNAcentral describes it as "partial 16S ribosomal RNA". It matches the Rfam family "Bacterial small subunit ribosomal RNA", at positions 30 to 523 of the family's 1533-position model. The record is from RNAcentral.